RNAcentral lists this long non-coding RNA (248 nucleotides) under Lathyrus oleraceus (garden pea). Its description in RNAcentral is "Pisum sativum (pea) long non-coding RNA (PSAT_LNC007736)". Lineage: Eukaryota; Viridiplantae; Streptophyta; Magnoliopsida; Fabales; Fabaceae. The record is from RNAcentral.
UGUAACCAACCCUCUUACCUGUAAUCUCUGGCAUUUUAUUAGUUUUGAUUUGAAAAUUUCUUAUCUUUGGGUUUUGUUCGUACUUUUGCUCUUUUUCCUUUGGAAACAAUAAAAGCGCGGUGGCGACUCUAGUUUUACUGACAUCAAGUUUAUGCAUAACUUGAUGGUCAUGAAUUUACCGCUACAGAAAUAAAAUGGUGACUCUGCUGGGGAGUAGUCCUCAGUGGGUUUAGCCUACUUUUUUUGUG